UGCCAGCAGCCGCGGUAAUACGGAGGUCCCAAGCGUUGUUCGGAUUCACUGGGCGUAAAGGGUGCGUAGGCGGUCGGGAAAGUUUGAUGUGAAAGCUCCGGGCUCAACCUGGAAAAUGCAUUGAAAACUAUUCGACUAGAGGAUUGUAAGGGAGACUGGAAUUCUCGGUGUAGCAGUGAAAUGCGUAGAUAUCGAGAGGAACACCAGUGGCGAAGGCGAGUCUCUGGACAAUUCCUGACGCUGAGGCACGAAGGCGUGGGUAGCGAACGGGAUUAGAUA
RNAcentral lists this ribosomal RNA (279 nucleotides) under uncultured bacterium. Its description in RNAcentral is "partial 16S ribosomal RNA". It matches the Rfam family "Bacterial small subunit ribosomal RNA", at positions 506 to 784 of the family's 1533-position model. The record is from RNAcentral.